CUCUCAUGCACUGGAUAUUGUUGAUGAGGGAUUCAAUGCAAGGUGCCAUGUAAUCCAUCAUUUUUCUUUCACCUUCAGUAAGGAUCUUCUCCAAAGUGGAGAAUUAAGAAGCUUAUGUGGCACACCAGAUGCCAACAACAUGGACGAACUUACGAAACUUGGCAACUCCAUCAACAUGGACGAACUUGGCAGCUCAUUUUUAUAAAUGGUGAAAAUUGCACUGACCCUUGUACUAGUCCAUUGGCCAAUCUGCUCCAUCCACUUUCCCCUUGUUCAAGGGUGUGAGGACUCCUUUGUGGAACUGGGAAAGUAGCGCUUAGUAAAAGAAAUGUGAGUGCUUGAAAUCAAAACAGAAGCUGAGGUGGAUAUGAUCGAGAGCAUCAAGUUCCUGGGAGUGGCGAUAACCAACAAUCUGUCCUGGAUCACUGACGGAAAUGUGAGGAUCAAGGAGGGUUCCAACAAGGGAUACGUUUGAGUGAAACUGGAAAAGAGGACCUUCACCUAAGGGUCGGACUCGAGACCAAUCGGCCCACAAGAUUGCAGCAUUGAACACAUAGUACCGAAAUCAUCAAACUCUAAGGCACCAAUUGCCAGGAGACUGGCCACCUGUAUAUUUCCGAUGCAAUCCUCUCCUAUCCGACCGUCUGCCACCGAUAGAAAUACCUUUACACGAUUCCUGUAUUCAGUAGCCUGCUGUAAUGAACAAGAUAAGCUGGAAAGAUGAAGAAAGACCAAAAAUACUAUGCCCUGUCAAUUCUCUUUCUGUUAUUAAUAGUUUCUUUAUUCAAGCUAAACCCCUGAUCCAUGUGUCAUCUGCUCACUCUUCCGUCAUUCUGAUGUGCAGUGAUAUGAGUAGGACACACCUACUUAUGCAAUCCCUCAUUUUUGAUGGAAAAGCCCAUUCGAUUUAAUACACUUGGACACUAGAUGAUUGCUAGCACCCACUGUUUACAAGAUUCAGCUCUCGAUUUGAGUGGACUAGUCAUUCACUCACAGAAGUGCUCCUUUGGAACUCCUUUUAGCCUUGCAAAAACAAAGCUUACCCAUAGUUAACCAAUGACUGGUACAGACAUUGUGCCCUAGUACACACCGUACCACUGUUCACCAUCCACCAUGAAGUACCUGAAGUAGAUGAUGAAUGGAACGUCCACCAACAUUUGAAUCAGUACAGAACAAAAAGUAGAGAAAAAACAAAACGGGUCUUACACAACUGCUUCCAGCAACAAAUCUGGUGGUACAAGUUGCUGUGAGGUCUUAUUCCUGAGUUGGGUGUUGAAAUAGCCCUAGAUCAGAUAAGUGACCUUGCGUAUGAUUUCGAAAAACUUUUCAACUCAACUGCCCACGCUUUGAAGCUGGUGAACGAAGAGUUACAGGAGACCCGAAUGGUGAUGAUUCAGAAUUGGUUCGUGCUAGAUUACCUCCUUGUUAAAGUGGCCUGAAAUGUUGUGCCAUAUCAAUGAGUUCUCGAAAGACAUUUUGGACGAUACAAAUGUUAACAACAAAACGGGUCAAGAUUCAGUGAAG
Long non-coding RNA from Chiloscyllium plagiosum (whitespotted bambooshark), 1524 nucleotides. RefSeq lists it as uncharacterized. The record is from RefSeq and is a predicted model, not a curated record. NCBI's taxonomy places the organism in Eukaryota, Metazoa, Chordata, Chondrichthyes, Orectolobiformes, Hemiscylliidae.